Molecule: ribosomal RNA, 587 nt
Filed under: uncultured bacterium
Lineage: Bacteria
Description: bacterial SSU rRNA
Rfam family: Bacterial small subunit ribosomal RNA
Source: RNAcentral
CCUACGGGAGGCAGCAGUAGGGAAUCUUCCGCAAUGGACGAAAGUCUGACGGAGCAACGCCGCGUGAGCGAUGAAGGCCUUCGGGUCGUAAAGCUCUGUUGUCAGGGAAGAACAAGUAUCGGAGUAACUGCCGGUACCUUGACGGUACCUGACCAGAAAGCCACGGCUAACUACGUGCCAGCAGCCGCGGUAAUACGUAGGUGGCAAGCGUUGUCCGGAAUUAUUGGGCGUAAAGCGCGCGCAGGCGGUUCCUUAAGUCUGAUGUGAAAGCCCCCGGCUCAACCGGGGAGGGUCAUUGGAAACUGGGGAACUUGAGUGCAGAAGAGGAGAGCGGAAUUCCACGUGUAGCGGUGAAAUGCGUAGAGAUGUGGAGGAACACCAGUGGCGAAGGCGGCUCUCUGGUCUGUAACUGACGCUGAGGCGCGAAAGCGUGGGGAGCGAACAGGAUUAGGUACCCUGGUAGUCCACGCCGUAAACGAUGAGUGCUAAGUGUUAGAGGGUUUCCGCCCUUUAGUGCUGCAGCAAACGCAUUAAGCACUCCGCCUGGGGAGUACGGCCGCAAGGCUGAAACUCAAAGGAAUUGACGG